Molecule: long non-coding RNA, 421 nt
Filed under: Olea europaea subsp. europaea
Lineage: Eukaryota; Viridiplantae; Streptophyta; Magnoliopsida; Lamiales; Oleaceae
Source: RNAcentral
AGACCAAAUUAACAUUUUCAUCUUAAAACUAAACAAAACUAUAUAUACACAUUCAAGUAACAAAAAACUCAACAUCAACCCACGUACUGAAAUUGAUUCUUGAUCCAAAUUCUAAACUGUUCAACAAUUAUACAGAACCAAACGCCUUGAACAAAGAUUACAAAAAUACUUCCUCUUGAAUGUGAAACAUAAGGGCAAACAGAAAAAUCUCGAUUGAAUUCCAACAUCCACUGCUUCCACUUUCCCUCCACAGUAAGGGCAUGCCCCAGAAGCCUGUUGCCUUCUAACUUCUUUUUCCUCUUUACUACAUAGCAAUAAACACAUUUUUCUUCUCGCUUUCACCUUCCACUGUGUGGGUCUUUGAUCGAGAAAAUUUUGACAAGACGAUCCGACGGCAAGAAGAUUCCAAGUUAACUUUGAU